Amblyraja radiata (thorny skate) is the source of this 284-nucleotide long non-coding RNA. RefSeq lists it as uncharacterized. The transcript is spliced from 3 exons. Lineage: Eukaryota; Metazoa; Chordata; Chondrichthyes; Rajiformes; Rajidae. The record is from RefSeq and is a predicted model, not a curated record.
GGGUGUCAUUUUCAUGCAGGAUGACUCCACACGAGAGGAUCUGCCUUCAUGCAGACACCCAAGUCGAAUGUUGUAAUGACAUAUUCUUGGCCAAUCUCAUGACUUGCUUCUUCAGAAGCUCGUAAACACUCUUGAACUGUACUAACUUCCGUGAUGGGAUGAUUGAUCAUAGGAUAGUAGUCAAUUGUGGUCACAUUUGAAGGCACCUCACCUGUUGCUGAGACAAAUCCAGCCCAAGCUGGAAGCUCUUGACCUUUCUCACUACUCGCUUUCCGGGAAAGCAU